Molecule: ribosomal RNA, 501 nt
Filed under: uncultured bacterium
Lineage: Bacteria
Description: partial 16S ribosomal RNA
Rfam family: Bacterial small subunit ribosomal RNA
Source: RNAcentral
ACUCAAAUGAAUUGACGGGGACCCGCACAAGCGGUGGAGCAUGUGGAUUAAUUCGAUACUAACCGAAGAACCUUACCCAGACUUGACAUCGAUCGCAAGCCUUUGAAAGAAGGCCCUCCCUCUCAAGGGGACGUGAAGACACUUGUUGCAUGGCUGUCGUCAGCUCGUGCCGUGAGGUGUACGGUUAAGUCCGCCAACGAGCGCAACCCUCGUCCUGUGUUACCAGCAUGAAAGAUGGGGACUCACAGGAGACCGCCGGUGUAAGCCGGAGGAAGGUGGGGAUGACGUCAAGUCAGCAUGGCAGUUACGUCUGGGGCUUCACACAUGCUACAAUGGGCGAAACAAAGGGCCGCGAUACCGUGAGGUGGAGCCAAUCCCAAAAAUACGCCCCCAGUUCAGAUUGUAGUCUGCAACUCGACUACAUGAAGGCGGAAUCGCUAGUAAACGCAGGUCAGCUAUACUGCGUUGAAUACGUUCCCGGGUCUUGUACACACCGCCCGU